This 3801-nucleotide unclassified non-coding RNA is filed under the name Stegodyphus dumicola. RNAcentral's name for it is "apoptotic chromatin condensation inducer in the nucleus-like, transcript variant X4". The record is from RNAcentral. Lineage: Eukaryota; Metazoa; Arthropoda; Arachnida; Araneae; Eresidae.
GUAACUUAUGGUAACGGAAAGCUACAUCUUACGUAAUAUUUGUUUUCAUUUUGUUUAUUUACAUCAAGGUUUUGUUAAGCCUAAAUUUGAAGUUUUUAUUGCUAUGGAAGAUGAAGUUUCGGUUUCGUUAGAUGGUAAAACUCUUGGUAACCUGCGAGUGGUUGAUUUAAAACAAGAAUUAGAUAAACGGGGUUUAUCGAAAAGUGGAAGUAAAAAAGAUUUGGUUAAACGUUUAAAACAGCAACUUGAAUUUGAGAAGCUGUGUGAAGAAAGAAAGUCAACUAGAGAUUGUGAUCUGAACUUACAACUUGAUGCUGCUACUGAGCAAAAUGAGUUUGUGCAGCAGUAUUUAGCUCAACAGCAAAAAAUAUAUGCUGAACAAAAGGAAGUAAAACGCCUUGUUGAACUUGAAGAAAUCCAUAAAAGUAGUGAUGAGCAAGAGAGUUGUGAAUUUACAAAGGUGGAUGAUAAUCAAGAGACUUUUGAAAAUCUAACUGAAAAUCCAGAAUUAGUCAAAUUAACUGAUAAUGUUAACAAAGAGGAUGAUAAUCAAGAGACUUCUGAUGAUUCAACUGGAAAUUUAGAAUUAAUCAAAAUAACUGAAAAUGCUAACAAAGAGGAUGAUAAUCAAGAGGCAUCUGAAGAUCCAACUGAAAAUUCAGAAUUAGUCAAAAUAACUGAAAAUGUUAACAAAGAGGAUGAUAAUCGAGAGAUUUCUGAAGAGCCAACUGAAAAUCCAAAAUUAGUUGAAGAAAUUAGAACUGUUACCAAAGAGGAUGACAAUAGUCUUAAAGACAAAGAUGUGAAGAGUCCUACAUUAGAAUUUAAAGAUUCCAAGAGUGCUAGUAUGACACACUCUUCUAAAUUUUCAAGUGAUAUUCAAAUUUCAUGCAAUCAAGAAUCUUCUUCAAAUAUGGAUUCUACUACUCCAGUACAAUCUGUGCCUUACUCUUUAUCUGAUAUUCAGUUACCAGAAAGUCCUGGAAGUAUUUCUAAAUCUGUGUCUCAAAUAUCAUCUGAUGUUUCAAGUGCAUCCCAUGUAACCUCAGAAAAGAAUGACAUUGAAUCAACAGAGAAGAAUUCGGAAACUCAGUUGCAUUCAAAUGGUAUUACCUCACCCGGUAUAGUUGUUUCCAGUAGUAAUAAGAAUGCAUCUAAGAGACGGAACUCUAAUUCCGAUUCUGAAGAUCCUACCGGUGAAUCAUGCGAUACACCAAAUUCUGUAAAUUCAGUUAACUGUAGUGAUGAAAAACAAAAGAUUGGAAAUUCUCAAAAGAACAGUUUGAGUGAUACAUCUCAGGCACUAGAACAUAAAACUAAAAAAGAUAAUGCUGUACGUGAAGAGGAAAAGAUAAUUCCAAAAGCAGAUGUAGAGCCUACAAAAGAGCAAUCAAGAGAGUCAUCAAAAGAAAAAGAGAGUGCAAGAAGAUCUAGGUCUUCUUCAGAAGACAGUGAUAAUGGGCGAAGUCCUGAUUCUGGUAAAGCACAUGCUCAAAAGGUAAAAUCUGUUAGUGAUGGUUCAGACGAUGAAAUUAAGAAAAGCAAACGAAACAAGAGUAGUUCCAGUGAUAGUUCACAGAACAGUGAAAGUAGCCAAGAUCGCAAUUUCAAUAAAAGUAAAUCAGUUGGUCACAGAGAUUCUAGUGUUAAUUCUAAUUCUAGUUCUGUGCCUGAUACAGAAAAAACUAAGAAUAAUUCUACGAAUAAUGCUGAACAUAUGUUGAAGUAUGCAAAUGCUGCAUCAUCCAAGCAGAAGCUUAAAAUAAAGCGUGACAAUAUUUUAAUUUCAAAAACUAAGGCAGUACCUAAGGAGACUUCUAAAGAAAGUGGAGCUCUAAAAGAUACUCAAAGUUCAAAUGUUCCUGCAUCACCAUCAUCUAAUUCUUCAGUUAAAGAUGAUGUGCCAAAAGUUGCCGAUGAUAUACUAAAAGCAACUUAUUCUUCUAGGAAAGUCUGCUUAUCAGGUCGUAAAAUAAAUAGAAAAUCAACUGAAGAAAUCCAAUCCGAUGCACCUAAAGUUAAAAAGAGUAAAUGGAGUAGUUUUGCUACAACUCAGAAAAAAUCUCAGUCUAUUAACAUAUCUAUGGAUUCACUUAAAAAUUGGUUUCCUGAUUUUAAGCUUAUUAAUGAGCCUGUUCCUGUAAAUGAAUUGGUUUCUGGUGAAAAUUCUCCAUCUAUUAAAGAAGAAAAAGUUUCAAAUCUUUUCCAUACAGAUUCAACCAGUAUGGAUGAGCCUAGCAUUAAGCCAAAUACAAGUUCUAGAAAACAAGCUGAGCCUGAUAUGAAAUCCGAGUCCAUGGAUGAUAGUCAUGAAGUAGAAAAUGCAUCCAGGAUUAUUUUUAUUCAGAAUUUAGUGCGACCAUUCACACUACAUCAGUUAAAAGAACUGUUGAAACAAAGUGGAAAUAUAAUUGAAGAACAUUUUUGGAUUGACAAAAUAAAAUCCAAGUGCUUUGUUAUGUAUGAAACUAAAGAAGAAGCUAUCAAAGCUAGAAAUGCUCUAAAUGGUACAAGAUGGCCAGUGUCAAAUCCAAAGAUAUUAUCAGUAGACUUUGCCACUGAAGAUGAUAUUGAGUCUCACAAAAGAGGAAGUGAGCCUCCUAAAACUGUACCCGAGCCCACAAAUCAGAAUAUUGAGACUUACGAAGUUAGAAAUGUGCAUCCAGCAGAAGAGCAUCGGAAAAAGGAGAGGGAUCGAAAGAAAGAAAGAGAGAGAUCGAAAACUAGAAUGCCUGUGCGGGAGUGGGAUAAAGAUAAAAUUUCACAGGACUCACCAGAGAAAGACACUACUGUUAACAGAGAAUCUGAUUCAAAAGCCAAAAGUUCAGAGAAAAGAGAGAAGAAAGAUUCUAAACGAAGGCCAAAUGAAGAUACUCCAGCAAAGCUACUAGAUGAUCUGUUUCAGAAAACCAAAGCUUCACCUUGCAUUUAUUGGUUACCAUUGACAGAUGAACAGGUUAAUGAAAGAGAAGAAGCAAAACGCCUAAGAAGAAUUGAGCGUGAAAAGAGAAAUCAACAAGCAAGAGAACAGGAAGAGUCUGAGCGCAAAAGCAAGAGAGCACGGUCUGGUCACAGAAGUCGUGAGGAAUCAAGAAGGAGCUCAACAAGAAGUCGUAGUCCGAUUUCGAGGCACCGAUGAGUUAAAUUGGGUUAAAUUUUUAUAAAUGUAAAAAUCCCUGGCCUCCUAUACAUUGCAUCUAUGAAAAAUCCUACAGCUUCUUAACCAGAUGAAAGCAGCCAAUCGAAAAUGAUUCACCUUUAACGGUGGUCUCCCCCAUCUUUCGACCCAGGAUAUCACACAGGGAUAGAAGUUUUAAGGGUGUGCAGUGUAGGAAUUGUUUCACAAUGAAAAGAUGCCUGAUUGGAACAAAAUGUUUAUAGCUACAUUUUUAAAACAGCAAAGCAGAGUUUGUAAAAUGGACAAUUGUUCCAUAAAUUUUGUCGCGAGUUCUUGGAUAUGAUCUCGGUUCUUCAAAAGUAUAAAAAUUCAUUUCAGAACUGAAUUUACUUUUUUAUAUUUAUGAAUGGCACCUAGUAUAUUGAAUGACAUCACAUGGACAUAAUCACUCAUCCUAAUUACACUUGUGUAAAUCUUUAAGUAUGUCAUUCAUGUUCCAUACAUUUGGCAUGUUAUGUUCAUUAGGUCUUGUUUAUUGAACUUGUAUGUUGUAAAGCAAAAUAAAAUCAUUUCAUUUGUUGCUUUUAUUGAUGGUAUUAAGACCAUGUUUUGCAGUUGUAUACCAGCAUUACUGUAUAUGUAGCUGUUGUAAAAGGUGUUUAUUAAAAUUAAGUUUGAUUCCA